RNAcentral lists this ribosomal RNA (543 nucleotides) under uncultured bacterium. Its description in RNAcentral is "bacterial SSU rRNA". It matches the Rfam family "Bacterial small subunit ribosomal RNA", at positions 777 to 1318 of the family's 1533-position model. The record is from RNAcentral.
AAUAGAUACCCAGGUAGUCCACGCCGUAAACGAUGAGUGCUAAGUGUUAGGGGGUUUCCGCCCCUUAGUGCUGCAGCUAACGCAUUAAGCACUCCGCCUGGGGAGUACGGUCGCAAGACUGAAACUCAAAGGAAUUGACGGGGGCCCGCACAAGCGGUGGAGCAUGUGGUUUAAUUCGAAGCAACGCGAAGAACCUUACCAGGUCUUGACAUCCCACUGACCGCUAUGGAGACAUAGUUUUCCCUUCGGGGACAGUGGUGACAGGUGGUGCAUGGUUGUCGUCAGCUCGUGUCGUGAGAUGUUGGGUUAAGUCCCGCAACGAGCGCAACCCUUGAUCUUAGUUGCCAUCAUUUAGUUGGGCACUCUAAGGUGACUGCCGGUGACAAACCGGAGGAAGGUGGGGAUGACGUCAAAUCAUCAUGCCCCUUAUGACCUGGGCUACACACGUGCUACAAUGGACGGUACAAACGGUUGCCAACCCGCGAGGGGGAGCUAAUCCGAUAAAAUCGUUCUCAGUUCGGAUUGUAGGCUGCAACUCGCCUA